UGCUUGAGCCGUUGCCUAUUCCAGUGUGGAAGUGGGACCGACAUCACCAUGGAUUUGUUUUUAGUCUUACCUCGUACCCGUGAUGGGCAUGACGGUAUUUGGGUGAUUGUGGAUAGACUCACCAAGUCUGCACAUUUCUUGCCAGUGGGAAAGAAGUAUAAAUUGGAUAAAUUGGCGGAGCUCUAUGUGAAUGAAAUUGUGAGGCUUCAUGGUGUUCCUGAAUCAAUAGUGUCAGAUCGGGACCCUCGAUUUGCUUCUAAAUUCUGGGGAGCUCUUCAGGCAGCUUUAGGUACCCAAUUACUCUUCAGCACUGCUUUUCAUCCUCAGACUGAUGGGCAGUCCGAGAGGACUAUUCAGACUUUGGAGGAUAUGUUGAGGGCUUGUGCCAUGCAGUUCAGAGGUAGUUGGGAUAAAAACCUAUCUUUGAUGGAAUUUGCCUAUAAUAAUAGCUAUCAUUCUAGCAUUGGUAUGGCGCUCUUUGAGGCUCUUUAUGGGAGGCAGUGUCGCACGCCUUUGUGUUGGAAUGAAGUAGGGGAAAAAGAGCUUUGUGGCCCAGAGUUAAUCCAUGUUACGAAUGAGAAGAUUAAAGUGGUUAGAGAUAGACUCAAGACUGCUCAAAGUAGGCAGAAAAGUUAUGCGGAUGUCCGUAGGAGAGAUCUUGAAUUUCAAGUGGGUGAUUGGGUGUUCCUGAAAUUAUCUCCUUGGAAAGGGAUUGUGCGUUUCGGUAAGCGUGGGAAGCUUAGCCCGAGGUAUAUUGGCCCUUAUGAGAUUAUAGAGCGAGUUGGCUCACUUGCUUAUCGAUUAGCCUUGCCUCCAGAGUUAGCUAGGAUACAUAAGGUGUUUCAUGUAUCCAUGCUUCGCAAGUAUAUUGCCGAUCCUUCUCAUGUGCUGCAAGAGCAACCGAUCAGUUUGACGAGAGAUUUGACCUAUGAAGAGGAACCGGUUCAGAUUCUCGACCGAAAGGAUCAAGUGCUUAGGAACAAGACAAUCCCGCUUGUCAAGGUGCUGUGGAGAAGUCAUCAAGUAGAAGAAGCUACUUAGGAAUCAGAGGAGCAAA
RNAcentral lists this long non-coding RNA (1057 nucleotides) under Fragaria vesca (wild strawberry). RNAcentral's name for it is "long non-coding RNA (FVES_LNC005208)". Lineage: Eukaryota; Viridiplantae; Streptophyta; Magnoliopsida; Rosales; Rosaceae. The record is from RNAcentral.